GACGAACCGUGCGAACGUUGUUCGGAAUCACUGGGCUUAAAGGGCGCGUAGGCGGGUCAGCAAGUCAGGGGUGAAAUCCCACGGCUCAACCGUGGAAGUGCCUUUGUGACUGCGAGGCUAGAGUAUGGCAGAGGGGGGUGGAAUUCCACGUGUAGCAGUGAAAUGCGUAGAGAUGUGGAGGAACACCGAUGGCGAAGGCAGCCCCCUGGGCCAAUACUGACGCUCAUGCACGAAAGCGUGGGGAGCAAACAGG
Molecule: ribosomal RNA, 253 nt
Filed under: uncultured bacterium
Lineage: Bacteria
Description: partial 16S ribosomal RNA
Rfam family: Bacterial small subunit ribosomal RNA
Source: RNAcentral